AUUGAACGCUGGCGGCAUGCUUUACACAUGCAAGUCGAACGGUAACAGGCCUUCGGGUGCUGACGAGUGGCGAACGGGUGAGUAAUGCAUCGGACCGUACCCAGAGGUGGGGGAUAACGCAGCGAAAGCUGUGCUAAUACCGCGUGUGAUCUGAGGAUGAAAGCGGGGGACCGAGCAGCAAUGUUUGGCCUCGCGCCUUUGGAGCGGCCGAUGUCGGAUUAGCUAGUUGGUGGGGUAAAGGCCUACCAAGGCGACGAGCCGUAGCUGGUCUGAGAGGACGACCAGCCACAAUGGGACUGAGACACGGCACAGACUCAUACGGGAGGCAGCAGUGGGGAAUUUUGGACAAUGGGAGCAAGCCUGAUCCAGCAAUGCCGCGUGCGGGAAGAAGGCCUUCGGGUUUGAAACCGCUUUUGGCAGGAACGAAACGGUGUCCGCUAAUACCGGGCGCUAAUGACGGUACCUUCAGAAUAAGCACCGGAUAACUACGUG
RNAcentral lists this ribosomal RNA (492 nucleotides) under uncultured bacterium. Its description in RNAcentral is "partial 16S ribosomal RNA". It matches the Rfam family "Bacterial small subunit ribosomal RNA", at positions 29 to 507 of the family's 1533-position model. The record is from RNAcentral.